RNA transcript from Amphimedon queenslandica, 937 nucleotides. It is a transcript of the gene named DNA-directed RNA polymerase I subunit RPA49-like, with no coding region annotated. The record is from RefSeq and is a predicted model, not a curated record. NCBI's taxonomy places the organism in Eukaryota, Metazoa, Porifera, Demospongiae, Haplosclerida, Niphatidae. The transcript has 8 exons.
UAUGAUUUUAAAAGAUGGAGGAAUACAUGACUUUAAUAUAACAGUCAAUAAUUUAUGAUGGAGAUAACUAUUCAAGAGACAAACUCUCAGAGGGAUGCCAUUCCUUUAUUGUCAUUCUCUAAUGGUCGACUUGAUUCCAGUUCAGAUGUUAAAGUAAAGCAUUCCCUUUAUCAAGAGAAAGGUAUGAAGAGGAGGACACUGGUUACAAAGACGGACCACAUGACGUACAUUGGUACCAAUUACGAGACUGAGGGAACCAUGAGCACCUUCCCUUUUAGAAACAAAUGAUGUGACAAGACUAUUUAAUUAAAGACCUUUUCACACUGGCAAAAGGUGGUUUCCAAUUAAUGCACAUCACUCUCAUUUCACCUCCAGAGGUGGAUUGUAUCAACAAAGUGCAUCAAAAAGCUUCAAAACUGUUAGCCGCACUUAGAUUUUACCAGCUUUUAAUUAACUCUAUUAAUAAUCUUUUUAAAUUAAGACUCUGUAUAUGAUUGGUGUUCUUGAUAAAGAGACUGGUACUAUGGAGUUACAUAAUACUGAUAUAUUUCAUAUGACACCUUAUAUCAAAGGUAAAACUGAUACUCCAGUGACUGAUCCUAAUCCCUCCAAGCGUAAGUCCAUAUCCAAGGAAGAGUAUUCUGAGGGUCUUGAGAAAGUGAUGAUGUCAUUCGGUAGCUCUCGGGCAAAGAAGGCGUGGUCAGCGGCUAAGAGGAACCAUAUAGACUUGUCUAUGACAGACAAGUCUCUAUUCUUGUAAUGUGCCAUGCCAGUGCAACACGAGUGUAUUCCUCAGGCUAUUUUAGGCAUGGACGUCAUUUGUCAAGCAAAAUCAGGUAUGGGCAAGACUGCUGUCUUUGUCAUAGCAACGCUUCAGCAAUUGGAGAUAGUUGAGGGACAAGUCUCUGUUCUUGUAAUGUGCCAUGCCAGGUAAUGA